GACGAACGCUGGCGGCGUGCCUAAUACAUGCAAGUAGAACGCUGAAGGAGGAGCUUGCUCUUCUGGAUGAGUUGCGAACGGGUGAGUAACGCGUAGGUAACCUGCCUGGUAGCGGGGGAUAACUAUUGGAAACGAUAGCUAAUACCGCAUAAGAGUAGAUGUUGCAUGACAUUUGCUUAAAAGGUGCAAUUGCAUCACUACCAGAUGGACCUGCGUUGUAUUAGCUAGUUGGUGGGGUAACGGCUCACCAAGGCGACGAUACAUAGCCGACCUGAGAGGGUGAUCGGCCACACUGGACUGAGACACGGCCCAGACUCCUACGGGAGGCAGCAGUAGGGAAUCUUCGGCAAUGGACGGAAGUCUGACCGAGCAACGCCGCGUGAGUGAAGAAGGUUUUCGGAUCGUAAAGCUCUGUUGUAAGAGAAGAAACGAGUGUGAAGA
This 441-nucleotide ribosomal RNA is filed under the name Streptococcus sp. oral taxon 064. Its description in RNAcentral is "bacterial SSU rRNA". It matches the Rfam family "Bacterial small subunit ribosomal RNA", at positions 28 to 462 of the family's 1533-position model. The record is from RNAcentral. Lineage: Bacteria; Bacillati; Bacillota; Bacilli; Lactobacillales; Streptococcaceae.